AAAUCCGCUUUGAUAAUGCUGGGGUGUGAUGGGGAGCGAAAUUUAGUAGCGAAGUAGCUGAUUUCACACUGUCAAGAAAAGUCUCUAUCGAGGUUAAAGGUACCCGUACCGCAAACCGACACAGGGGGGUGAGGAGAGUAUCCUAAGGCCAGCGAGAGAACUGUUGUUAAGGAACUCGGCAAAAUGACCCCGUAACUUAGGGAUAAGGGGUGCCACCAUCAGGUGGCCGCAGAGAAUAGGCCCAAGCGACUGUUUACCAAAAACAUAGGUUUCUGCUAAGUCGCAAGACGAUGUAUAGGAGCUGACGCCUGCCCGGUGCUGGAAGGUUAAGGGGAUCUGUUAGAGCAA
RNAcentral lists this ribosomal RNA (348 nucleotides) under Clostridioides difficile. Its description in RNAcentral is "partial 23S ribosomal RNA". It matches the Rfam family "Bacterial large subunit ribosomal RNA", at positions 1538 to 1898 of the family's 2925-position model. Lineage: Bacteria; Bacillati; Bacillota; Clostridia; Peptostreptococcales; Peptostreptococcaceae. The record is from RNAcentral.